GUGUCAGCAGCCGCGGUUAUACGUAGGGUGCAAGCGUUAAUCGGAAUUACUGGGCGUAAAGCGUGCGCAGGCGGUUGUGUAAGUCAGAUGUGAAAUCCCCGGGCUCAACCUGGGAAUUGCAUUUGAGACUGCACGGCUAGAGUGUGUCAGAGGGGGGUAGAAUUCCACGUGUAGCAGUGAAAUGCGUAGAGAUGUGGAGGAAUACCGAUGGCGAAGGCAGCCCCCUGGGAUAACACUGACGCUCAUGCACGAAAGCGUGGGGAGCAAACAGGAUUAGAAACCCGGGUAGUCC
This 292-nucleotide ribosomal RNA is filed under the name uncultured Herbaspirillum sp. RNAcentral describes it as "partial 16S ribosomal RNA". It matches the Rfam family "Bacterial small subunit ribosomal RNA", at positions 505 to 796 of the family's 1533-position model. The record is from RNAcentral. Lineage: Bacteria; Pseudomonadati; Pseudomonadota; Betaproteobacteria; Burkholderiales; Oxalobacteraceae.